UACGUAGGGUGCAAGCGUUGUCCGGAAUUAUUGGGCGUAAAGAGUUCGUAGGCGGUUUGUCGCGUCCGUUGUGAAAGCUUGGGGCUCAACCCCAAGUCUGCAGUGGAUACGGGCAGACUAGAGUCAGGUAGGGGAGAACGGAAUUCCUGGUGUAGCGGUGAAAUGCGUAGAUAUUCGGAGGAACACCAGUGGCGAAGGCGGCUCGCUGGCUCGAUACUGACGCUGAGGUGCGAAAGCGUGGGGAGCAAACAGG
RNAcentral lists this ribosomal RNA (253 nucleotides) under uncultured bacterium. RNAcentral's name for it is "partial 16S ribosomal RNA". It matches the Rfam family "Bacterial small subunit ribosomal RNA", at positions 524 to 776 of the family's 1533-position model. The record is from RNAcentral.